This 69-nucleotide transfer RNA is filed under the name Olea europaea subsp. europaea. Lineage: Eukaryota; Viridiplantae; Streptophyta; Magnoliopsida; Lamiales; Oleaceae. The record is from RNAcentral.
GCAUUUGGUUUAGUGGUGUGAUUCUUGCUUUGGAUGUAGGAAGUCUCGGGUUCAAGUCCCAAAAUGACA